RNAcentral lists this ribosomal RNA (291 nucleotides) under uncultured bacterium. RNAcentral's name for it is "partial 16S ribosomal RNA". It matches the Rfam family "Bacterial small subunit ribosomal RNA", at positions 56 to 339 of the family's 1533-position model. The record is from RNAcentral.
UGCAAGUCGAGGGGCAGCAUGGUCUUAGCUUGCUAAGGCCGAUGGCGACCGGCGCACGGGUGAGUAACACGUAUCCAACCUGCCGAUAACUCGGGGAUAGCCUUUCGAAAGAAAGAUUAAUACCCGAUGGUAUAAUCAGACCGCAUGGUGCGGGGGUAAAAACUCCGGUGGUACAGGAUGGUCCCGCGUCUGAUUAGCCAGUUGGCGGGGUAACGGCCCACCAAACCGACGAUGGAUAGGGGUUCUGAGAGGAAGGUCCCCACAUUGGAACUGAGACACGGUCCAAACUCC